GACGAACGCGGCGGCGUGCCUAAUACAUGCAAGUAGAACGCUGAAGAGAGGAGCUUGCUCUUCUUGGAUGAGUUGCGAACGGGUGAGUAACGCGUAGGUAACCUGCCUGGUAGCGGGGGAUAACUAUUGGAAACGAUAGCUAAUACCGCAUAAUAGCAGUUAUUGCAUGAUAACUGUUUGAAAGGUGCAAAUGCAUCACUACCAGAUGGACCUGCGUUGUAUUAGCUAGUUGGUGGGGUAACGGCUCACCAAGGCGACGAUACAUAGCCGACCUGAGAGGGUGAUCGGCCACACUGGGACUGAGACACGGCCCAGACUCCUACGGGAGGCAGCAGUAGGGAAUCUUCGGCAAUGGACGGAAGUCUGACCGAGCAACGCCGCGUGAGUGAAGAAGGUUUUCGGAUCGUAAAGCUCUGUUGUAAGAGAAGAACGAGUGUGAGAGUGGAAAGUUCACACUGUGACG
This 463-nucleotide ribosomal RNA is filed under the name Streptococcus mitis. RNAcentral describes it as "bacterial SSU rRNA". It matches the Rfam family "Bacterial small subunit ribosomal RNA", at positions 28 to 474 of the family's 1533-position model. The record is from RNAcentral. Lineage: Bacteria; Bacillati; Bacillota; Bacilli; Lactobacillales; Streptococcaceae.